CAGCAGCCGCGGUAAUACGUAGGUGGCAAGCGUUGCCCGGAAUUAUUGGGCGUAAAGGGCUCGCAGGCGGUUUCUUAAGUCUGAUGUGAAAGCCCCCGGCUCAACCGGGGAGGGUCAUUGGAAACUGGGAAACUUGAGUGCAGAAGAGGAGAGUGGAAUUCCACGUGUAGCGGUGAAAUGCGUAGAGAUGUGGAGGAACACCAGUGGCGAAGGCGACUCUCUGGUCUGUAACUGACGCUGAGGAGCGAAAACGUGGGGAGCGAACAGGAUUAGAUACCCCUGUAGUCCCUGUCUCUUAUAC
RNAcentral lists this ribosomal RNA (301 nucleotides) under uncultured bacterium. RNAcentral's name for it is "partial 16S ribosomal RNA". It matches the Rfam family "Bacterial small subunit ribosomal RNA", at positions 509 to 807 of the family's 1533-position model. The record is from RNAcentral.